Molecule: long non-coding RNA, 528 nt
Organism: Ornithorhynchus anatinus (platypus)
Lineage: Eukaryota; Metazoa; Chordata; Mammalia; Monotremata; Ornithorhynchidae
Exons: 3
Source: RefSeq, a predicted model, not a curated record
GGCCCGACCCACAGCAAGAAGAAAUUCCAGCGUUGCCUUUUCCCGGUUCCUGGGGUCAGCCGGUUUCCAAUUCACAGUGACCCGUAGACGAACAGGCAGCCACAGAGAAGAGCUGAUCCCACUCUCUGCUCAGUACAGCUCCUAAAACGCAGUGGGAGAAGAGACCGGAUAUAUAAGAAGGCGAAUCUUGAAGCCAGUGGACAGGAGCCUUUUUUCUGCGGCGGAGAUGGAUAACCCUCGGGGGCUUCGGAGGAUUGGAACGAAGCGUUCGGAGAGCCGUUUAGAAAGGUAAUUACCUCAACUCCCCAUUUCAUCUGGCCAGUACCUACCUACGCAAGCUUCAGAGAAGCAUCAUUAAGACGUGUGAGAAACAGCUCUUCGGAGAAGUCAAUUGCUUCCAAAACCAGGGAGAACAGACGUUACUGACUCGUCGACACAAAAAUGUAAAUAUAAACCUCUAGAGAAGGUCUAAAUGAACUCCAGAUGCAAAUGAGAAACAUGCUGCUGAGAAAUGUUUUACUAAUCAGU